UACGGGGGGAGCAAGCGUUGUUCGGAUUUACUGGGCGUAAAGGGCGCGUAGGCGGUCAGCACAAGUCAGUUGUGAAAUCUCCGGGCUUAACUCGGAAAGGUUAACUGAUACUGUGCGACUAGAGUGCAGAAGGGGCAACUGGAAUUCUCGGUGUAGCGGUGAAAUGCGUAGAUAUCGAGAGGAACACCUGCGGCGAAGGCGGGUUGCUGGGCUGACACUGACGCUGAUGCGCGAAAGCCAGGGGAGCGAACGGG
Molecule: ribosomal RNA, 254 nt
Filed under: uncultured bacterium
Lineage: Bacteria
Description: partial 16S ribosomal RNA
Rfam family: Bacterial small subunit ribosomal RNA
Source: RNAcentral